RNAcentral lists this long non-coding RNA (399 nucleotides) under Physcomitrium patens. RNAcentral describes it as "long non-coding RNA (PPAT_LNC008419)". The record is from RNAcentral. Lineage: Eukaryota; Viridiplantae; Streptophyta; Bryopsida; Funariales; Funariaceae.
AGAUAUGAAAGAGAAGACGAAAUGGUUGAAGACAUUGAUGAUAUUGGAUCAAAAUUCUAUUCAGUAUCAAAUAUUAAUAAAGAAGAUAAGCUAUUUCUUGAAGAAUUUUAUGAAGAAAAAUUAUUGGAUACUGGUCAUUACUUGAAUACCUUGACUAAGCAAGAAAAUUGGUCUACAGAAAAAUUUAAAAAAAUAAGAAAAAAGGCAUAUGGAUUUUUGCUUCAAGAAAGAUUCUUAUAGAAGAGACUAAAGAAAGGAAUUGGAAUGCUACAAAGAGUGAUAGGCAAUAAGGAAGAGAAACAAAAAUUAUUAAAGGGAUUUCAUGGUAGUUUAUGGGCAGGACAUAGAGGAAUUUGGGCUACUUUUGCUAAGCUUAAAGAACAAUAUUGGUGGAAAAAU